This is a long non-coding RNA of Megalops cyprinoides (Indo-Pacific tarpon), 394 nucleotides long. RefSeq lists it as uncharacterized. Lineage: Eukaryota; Metazoa; Chordata; Actinopteri; Elopiformes; Megalopidae. The transcript has 3 exons. The record is from RefSeq and is a predicted model, not a curated record.
UGGGGGUGUGGUACGCAGGCUCCACAGCUGAGGACAGGAAGACUGUGCCACCCAAAAAAUUAUCGGUUGCCCUCUGCCUUCCCUGGACAACAUAUGCAGAUCCCGUUACCUCAGUAAAAUUAAGGCCAUCACAGGAGACCCCUCACAUCCCGCCUAUCACCUGUUUGACCUGUUGCCUUCUGGACAGUGCUUCAGAGCUCAGACAUCACUGCCAGGCAUACAGUAGUUCUUCGUGGCCUUCCAGUCCUGCUUGGAGACAAAAGUGCAGACUUCUUCAAGACAUGUUUGGACUCUGAUGACUACCAGGGUAUUUCUGGUGUGCUCAUUGGGAUUCUAACCAUAAUACCUGAAGACACACAGGCUUCUCCCCACUGUCUUCACCUGGAGGCCUCAA